RNAcentral lists this ribosomal RNA (221 nucleotides) under uncultured bacterium. Its description in RNAcentral is "partial 16S ribosomal RNA". It matches the Rfam family "Bacterial small subunit ribosomal RNA", at positions 113 to 334 of the family's 1533-position model. The record is from RNAcentral.
CGACGUGGGGAACCUGCCCUAUACAGGGGGAUAACAGCUGGAAACGGCUGCUAAUACCGCAUAAGCGCACAGAAUCGCAUGAUUCAGUGUGAAAAGCCCUGGCAGUAUAGGAUGGUCCCGCGUCUGAUUAGCUGGUUGGUGAGGUAACGGCUCACCAAGGCGACGAUCAGUAGCCGGCUUGAGAGAGUGAACGGCCACAUUGGGACUGAGACGCGGCCCAA